This 61-nucleotide microRNA precursor is filed under the name Eptatretus burgeri (inshore hagfish). RNAcentral describes it as "Ebu-Mir-33_pre stem-loop". It matches the Rfam family "mir-33 microRNA precursor family", at positions 6 to 66 of the family's 69-position model. The record is from RNAcentral. Lineage: Eukaryota; Metazoa; Chordata; Myxini; Myxiniformes; Myxinidae.
GUGCAUUGUAGUUGCAUUGCAUGUGCCAGUGCGUGUGGUGCAAUGCAACUGCUGUGCAGCA